CUUUAUCUCAACUCAAGGGUUUCCUCACUUUUUCCUCCUUCCAUUUCUCUCCCAGGUCCUGCUGUGAAGCUGGGUGGGACUGAAGUGGCUCAACACAGCACUCUUGGGAACAGCACCUUAGACAUGCUGUAAUAUGCAUUCAGUACAGAAGGAGCAUUGCCAUCUUGCUGAAGUUCAGCACUGCAGCACCUACUUCAUGUCUAACAUAUUUGGGAAUUACAAAUUGCCUGACACUCCCCAAGAGCAUUGAAUGCAGUACAGAUCUGGAGGGGAAAGGAUGCUUUUCAUAAUGUGUAUCUGCUUGGAAUAACAAAGAUGUGACCAUUGCAGAAGCCCUGGUGUUCCUAAGUCCAGCAGCUGUCUUGAGAUGUAUACUCAUUGCUUAUUUUUAAACAUGCAAAACUACUGGGAGGAGAGAAGAGGAAAAUGAAGAAUUCAAAGUGAUUACCAGAGUAUGUUAUAAAUAAUAUGUAAAACAAUGGUAUGUAAAUGUACCAUGGUGUAGCUAGAAUACAUUGCCACAAAAACUUUUUAUUUAAUUACAGACCAUGGAAAAUGAGCCUCCAGAACAGGGCAAAGUUUUAGGCAAAGCUAAAUAAUGCUAUAAUGUUUCAAAAAGGGGGCAACUGCAUCCUCACUUCCUGUUAUGGAGGCAAACUUAAGGCUAAUAAACGACAUUAGAAUAACA
This 688-nucleotide long non-coding RNA is filed under the name Lonchura striata (white-rumped munia). RNAcentral describes it as "domestica (Bengalese finch) lncRNA (ENSLSDG00000014366.1)". Lineage: Eukaryota; Metazoa; Chordata; Aves; Passeriformes; Estrildidae. The record is from RNAcentral.